CAGUCGCCGCGGGAAUACGAAGGGUGCAAGCGUUACUCGGAAUUACUGGGCGUAAAGCGUGUGUAGGUGGUUGUUUAAGUCUGUCGUGAGAGCCCUGGGCUCAACCUGGGAAUUGCGAUGGAUACUGGGCGACUAGAGUGCGGUAGAGGAUAGUGGAAUUUCCGGUGUAGCAGUGAAAUGCGUAGAGAUCGGAAGGAACAUCUGUGGCGAAGGCGACUAUCUGGGCCAACACUGACACUGAGACACGAAAGCGUGGGGAGCAAACAGGAUUAGAUACCCCCGUAGUCCCUGUCUCUUAUAA
This 301-nucleotide ribosomal RNA is filed under the name uncultured bacterium. Its description in RNAcentral is "partial 16S ribosomal RNA". It matches the Rfam family "Bacterial small subunit ribosomal RNA", at positions 509 to 809 of the family's 1533-position model. The record is from RNAcentral.